Molecule: long non-coding RNA, 238 nt
Filed under: Elaeis guineensis (African oil palm)
Lineage: Eukaryota; Viridiplantae; Streptophyta; Magnoliopsida; Arecales; Arecaceae
Description: long non-coding RNA (EGUI_LNC003549)
Source: RNAcentral
GUGGUCGUUCACGAUAGUUUUUCGUCAGAUUGACAUUAUCAAACUUAAAUACAGAGAGCACAUGGAUGCAUAGCGCGCACAUCUCUAGAUCCGAGGAAUCACUUGAGAUAUUCCUUUCGCCUGAUUCUCAGACUCAGGAGUAGGAGGGUAGUGUUACGGUAGUAUCCUGAAUAUCUCAGAUCUGGUAUGUUGUCAUUGACGUCUCUGAUCAGCAGGCUAUCCGUGCAGUCAUCGACCC